RNAcentral lists this ribosomal RNA (422 nucleotides) under uncultured bacterium. Its description in RNAcentral is "bacterial SSU rRNA". It matches the Rfam family "Bacterial small subunit ribosomal RNA", at positions 355 to 774 of the family's 1533-position model. The record is from RNAcentral.
UAAGGAAUGUUGGACAAUGGAGGCAACUCUGAUCCAGCCAUGCCGCGUGAAGGAAUAAGGCCCUAUGGGUUGUAAACUUCUUUUAGACGGGACAAAACCCCUUUACGUGUAAAGGGUUGAUGGUACUGUCAGAAUAAGCAUCGGCUAACUUCGUGCCAGCAGCCGCGGUAAUACGAAGGAUGCAAGCGUUAUCCGGAAUUAUUGGGUUUAAAGGGUGCGUAGGCGGACUAAUAAGUCAGUGGUGAAAGCCUGCAGCUUAACUGCAGAAUUGCCAUUGAUACUGUUAGUCUUGAGUACAGUUGAGGUAGGCGGAAUGUGUCAUGUAGCGGUGAAAUGCUUAGAUAUGACACAGAACACCGAUUGCGAAGGCAGCUUGCUAAGCUGUAACUGACGCUGCGGCACGAAAGCGUGGGGAGCAAACA